GGCAUUUUAUUUCUAAACCAUGAUUAGCCCCGGAAAACUAAUUAUGUUGAGAAUAAAAAAA
Molecule: regulatory RNA element, 61 nt
Organism: Pontibacillus yanchengensis Y32
Lineage: Bacteria; Bacillati; Bacillota; Bacilli; Caryophanales; Bacillaceae
Rfam family: Ribosomal protein L13 leader
About the family: This family is a putative r-protein leader autoregulatory structure found in B. subtilis and other low-GC Gram-positive bacteria. It is located in the 5' untranslated regions of mRNAs encoding the L13-S9 (rplM-rpsI) ribosomal protein operon.
Source: Rfam